GACGAACGCUGGCGGCGUGCCUAAUACAUGCAAGUAGAACGCUGAAGGAGGAGCUUGCUCUUCUGGAUGAGUUGCGAACGGGUGAGUAACGCGUAGGUAACCUGCCUGGUAGCGGGGGAUAACUAUUGGAAACGAUAGCUAAUACCGCAUAACAGUAGAUGUUGCAUGACAUUUGCUUAAAAGGUGCAAUUGCAUCACUACCAGAUGGACCUGCGUUGUAUUAGCUAGUUGGUGGGGUAACGGCUCACCAAGGCGACGAUACAUAGCCGACCUGAGAGGGUGAUCGGCCACACUGGGACUGAGACACGGCCCAGACUCCUACGGGAGGCAGCAGUAGGGAAUCUUCGGAAAUGGACGGAAGUCUGGCCGAGCAACGCCGCGUGAGUGAAGAAGGUUUUCGGAUCGUAAAGCUCUGUUGUAAGAGAAGAACGAGUGUGAGAGUGGAAAGUUCACACUGUGACGGUAUCUUACCAGAAAGGGACGGCUAACUACGUG
Molecule: ribosomal RNA, 495 nt
Filed under: uncultured bacterium
Lineage: Bacteria
Description: partial 16S ribosomal RNA
Rfam family: Bacterial small subunit ribosomal RNA
Source: RNAcentral